AGGCAACUUUUGUAUUUACUAAUAUUUGAAAUUAUGAAAAACAGAAAUUGGGCUGGGAUUAACGGGAUUUGGCAUAUUUUUCUCAUUUCUGGGAAUUAUCUUCUUUCUCGACAAGGGCUUGCUUGGCAUGGGAAAUAUCCUUUUCAUAUCAGGGGUGUUCUUAACCAUUGUUCUGAAGUCCACCGUGCAAUUUUUCACGAAGCCUCAAAAUUUUAAGGGAACAAUUUCUUUUGGUGUUGGCUUCUUUUUUGUUGUCAUUGGAUGGCCUAUCAUUGGCAUGAUAUUGGAGACUUAUGGUUUCGUUGUACUCUUCAGAUCUAUAUGAAAUUUUUAUUUUCUUGAUUUAACGCAAAUGCUAACUUUUUAGCUCCAC
Long non-coding RNA from Hibiscus syriacus, 373 nucleotides. RefSeq lists it as uncharacterized. Lineage: Eukaryota; Viridiplantae; Streptophyta; Magnoliopsida; Malvales; Malvaceae. The transcript has 3 exons. The record is from RefSeq and is a predicted model, not a curated record.